RNAcentral lists this ribosomal RNA (309 nucleotides) under uncultured bacterium. Its description in RNAcentral is "bacterial SSU rRNA". It matches the Rfam family "Bacterial small subunit ribosomal RNA", at positions 28 to 334 of the family's 1533-position model. The record is from RNAcentral.
GAUGAACGCUAGCGGCAGGCUUAACACAUGCAAGUCGAGGGGUAACAUUGGUGCUUGCAUCAGAUGACGACGGGCGCACGGGUGCGUAACGCGUAUAGAAUCUGCCUUCUACAGAGGGAUAGCCUUUAGAAAUGAAGAUUAAUACCUCAUAAUACUGAGACUUGGCAUCAAGAUUUAGUUAAAGAUUUAUCGGUAGAAGAUGACUAUGCGUCCUACUAGCUAGAUGGUAAGGUAACGGCUUACCAUGGCGACGAUAGGUAGGGGUCCUGAGAGGGAGAUCCCCCACACUGGUACUGAGACACGGACCAG